This 66-nucleotide transfer RNA is filed under the name Amphiura sp. JN-2020. RNAcentral describes it as "tRNA-Pro". The record is from RNAcentral. Lineage: Eukaryota; Metazoa; Echinodermata; Ophiuroidea; Amphilepidida; Amphiuridae.
GGGGAAGUAGUUUAAUAAAAACUUAAGCUUUGGGAGUUUAAAAUACCACCUGAGUGGUCUUCCUUA